RNAcentral lists this microRNA precursor (91 nucleotides) under Microtus ochrogaster (prairie vole). RNAcentral describes it as "miRNA (ENSMOCG00000005882.1)". The record is from RNAcentral. Lineage: Eukaryota; Metazoa; Chordata; Mammalia; Rodentia; Cricetidae.
CAGGAAGAUCUCUGUGAGUUUGAGGCCAGCCUGGUCAACAGAGUGAGCUCCAGGGCAGCCAUGAAUACACAGAGAAAACCUGUCUCAGGAA